RNAcentral lists this long non-coding RNA (480 nucleotides) under Musa acuminata (dwarf banana). RNAcentral describes it as "long non-coding RNA (MACU_LNC001904)". The record is from RNAcentral. Lineage: Eukaryota; Viridiplantae; Streptophyta; Magnoliopsida; Zingiberales; Musaceae.
UGUGCCAAUGUUUGGUUUGGAUCUCAAUCCAGAGGUAUCCUUUGUCAUUUGCAGAUCUUCUGAUGAUGAUGAUGAUGAUGAUGAUGAGAUCGAGUUUGUGAGCAGUAUGAACCGGAGAGAGUCGCUUUGUUUGAGACUGGAUCACCAUCACCUGUUCAAGACAAAAUAAUUAAAGGAAAAGCAAAAUACAUAAAACACAGGUACGAAAAGCAAUGGAUUGAGAGAUAUAGAUUGUGGUUGACUGGUGGCUGCUUUUUGAGAAAACAAUUAUUAAAAGAGUUGGACAUCAACAUCCAUGAUGCGGAUGGAGCAGCCAACCUGAAAACCUUGGGAAUGAAAGAUGGAAUCAAAAGGUGGGCUGGUGCUGGUAAUACAAAACCACGCAUUCAUCCUAUGGCGCUGCUGGUCUUUGGCGAGACAGCCUUGUUCAUCAUCAAGCAUCACUACAAAACUUGGCAUCAAAUUCUUCUCCUCUAUCGC